GCAGUAGUCAUAUGCUUGUCUCAAAGCUUAAGCCAUGCAAGUCUCAGUACAGACUAUAUUAAAGUGAAACCGCAAAAGGCUCAGUAAACCAGUUUUAAUUUACUAGAGUUAACUUGACUGUGCUUGGAUAACUGUGGUAAUUCUAGAGCUAAUACAUGCAACAAAGCCGUGACCAUUCGUGGUCAGGGCGCUUUUAUUAGACCAAGACCAAUCGCCCGGCCAGUCCGGGCGUUAAGUUGAGGAACCUAGAUAACACAGCAGAUCGCAUGGUCUUAGUACCGGCGACCUAUCUUUCAAAUGCCUGACUUAUCAACUGACGAUGGUAGACUCUGUGUCUACCAUGGCUGUUACGGGUAACGGGGAAUCAGGGUUCGAUUCCGGAGAGGGAGCCUGAGAAACGGCUACCACAUCCAAGGAAGGCAGCAGGCACGCAAAUUACCCACUCCCGGAACGGGGAGGUAGUGACAAAAAAUAACGAUACGGGACUCGAUAUGAGGCCUCGUAAUCGGAAUGAGUACACUCUAAAUCCUUUAACAAAAAUCUAUUGGAGGGCAAGUCUGGUGCCAGCAGCCGCGGUAAUUCCAGCUCCAAUAGCGUAUAUUAAAGUUGUUGCGGUUAAAAAGCUCGUAGUUGGUUCUGCGUCCCGCGCUGUCGGUACACCGUUUGUCGGUGACACUGGCAUGACGCGGGAUGUCCUGUCGGUGGCGGCGGAGACCAUAUCGCCGUCGGCUAACACCGCGGCGUGUUGGCCUUCUGUCGCCGGCUUUAUCCUACCGCGGUGCUCUUCACUGAGUGUCGAGGUAGGCCGACACGUUUACUUUGAACAAAUUAGAGUGCUUAAAGCAGGCAAAAAUCUCUGCCAGAAUAGUGGUGCAUGGAAUAAUGGAACAGGACCUUGGUUCUAUUCUGUUGGUCUCCGGAACACAAGGUAAUGAUCAAUGUGGACAGGCGGGGGCAUUCGUAUUGCGGCGUUAGAGGUGAAAUUCUUGGAUCGUCGCAAGACGCACUAGAGCGAAAGCAAUUGCCAAGUAUGUCUUAAUUGAUCAAGAACGAAAGUUAGAGGUUCGAAGGCGAUCAAA
Molecule: ribosomal RNA, 1079 nt
Filed under: Cimex sp.
Lineage: Eukaryota; Metazoa; Arthropoda; Insecta; Hemiptera; Cimicidae
Description: SSU rRNA
Rfam family: Eukaryotic small subunit ribosomal RNA
Source: RNAcentral